GGGGUUGUGGCUCAGUGGUAGAGCGCUCACUUCGCAUGUGCGGGGUCCUGAGUUUGAUCCUCAGCACCA
Molecule: transfer RNA, 69 nt
Filed under: Ictidomys tridecemlineatus (thirteen-lined ground squirrel)
Lineage: Eukaryota; Metazoa; Chordata; Mammalia; Rodentia; Sciuridae
Description: Spermophilus tridecemlineatus (thirteen-lined ground squirrel) tRNA
Rfam family: tRNA
About the family: Transfer RNA (tRNA) molecules are approximately 80 nucleotides in length. Their secondary structure includes four short double-helical elements and three loops (D, anti-codon, and T loops).
Source: Rfam by way of RNAcentral